This 1440-nucleotide ribosomal RNA is filed under the name uncultured organism. Its description in RNAcentral is "16S ribosomal RNA". It matches the Rfam family "Bacterial small subunit ribosomal RNA". The record is from RNAcentral.
AGGAUGAACGCUAGCUACAGGCUUAACACAUGCAAGUCGAGGGGCAGCAUGGUCUUAGCUUGCUAAGGCCGAUGGCGACCGGCGCACGGGUGAGUAACACGUAUCCAACCUGCCGUCUACUCUUGGACAGCCUUCUGAAAGGAAGAUUAAUACAAGAUGGCAUCAUGAGUCCGCAUGUUCACAUGAUUAAAGGUAUUCCGGUAGACGAUGGGGAUGCGUUCCAUUAGAUAGUAGGCGGGGUAACGGCCCACCUAGUCUUCGAUGGAUAGGGGUUCUGAGAGGAAGGUCCCCCACAUUGGAACUGAGACACGGUCCAAACUCCUACGGGAGGCAGCAGUGAGGAAUAUUGGUCAAUGGGCGAGAGCCUGAACCAGCCAAGUAGCGUGAAGGAUGACUGCCCUAUGGGUUGUAAACUUCUUUUAUAAAGGAAUAAAGUCGGGUAUGCAUACCCGUUUGCAUGUACUUUAUGAAUAAGGAUCGGCUAACUCCGUGCCAGCAGCCGCGGUAAUACGGAGGAUCCGAGCGUUAUCCGGAUUUAUUGGGUUUAAAGGGAGCGUAGAUGGAUGUUUAAGUCAGUUGUGAAAGUUUGCGGCUCAACCGUAAAAUUGCAGUUGAUACUGGAUAUCUUGAGUGCAGUUGAGGCAGGCGGAAUUCGUGGUGUAGCGGUGAAAUGCUUAGAUAUCACGAAGAACUCCGAUUGCGAAGGCAGCCUGCUAAGCUGCAACUGACAUUGAGGCUCGAAAGUGUGGGUAUCAAACAGGAUUAGAUACCCUGGUAGUCCACACGGUAAACGAUGAAUACUUGCUGUUUGCGAUAUACGGCAAGCGGCCAAGCGAAAGCGUUAAGUAUUCCACCUGGGGAGUACGCCGGCAACGGUGAAACUCAAAGGAAUUGACGGGGGCCCGCACAAGCGGAGGAACAUGUGGUUUAAUUCGAUGAUACGCGAGGAACCUUACCCGGGCUUAAAUUGCAGAUGAAUUACGGUGAAAGCCGUAAGCCGCAAGGCAUCUGUGAAGGUGCUGCAUGGUUGUCGUCAGCUCGUGCCGUGAGGUGUCGGCUUAAGUGCCAUAACGAGCGCAACCCUUGUUGUCAGUUACUAACAGGUUCCGCUGAGGACUCUGACAAGACUGCCAUCGUAAGAUGUGAGGAAGGUGGGGAUGACGUCAAAUCAGCACGGCCCUUACGUCCGGGGCUACACACGUGUUACAAUGGGGGGUACAGAGGGCCGCUACCACGCGAGUGGAUGCCAAUCCCCAAAACCUCUCUCAGUUCGGACUGGAGUCUGCAACCCGACUCCACGAAGCUGGAUUCGCUAGUAAUCGCGCAUCAGCCACGGCGCGGUGAAUACGUUCCCGGGCCUUGUACACACCGCCCGUCAAGCCAUGGGAGCCGGGGGUACCUGAAGUGCGUAACCGCGAGGAGCGCCCUAGGGUAAAACUG